RNAcentral lists this ribosomal RNA (371 nucleotides) under uncultured bacterium. RNAcentral's name for it is "bacterial SSU rRNA". It matches the Rfam family "Bacterial small subunit ribosomal RNA", at positions 527 to 896 of the family's 1533-position model. The record is from RNAcentral.
AGAGGGGGCAAGCGUUAUUCGGAAUUAUUGGGCGUAAAGGGCGCGUAGGCGGCCUUUCAAGUCUCUCGUGAAAUCCCUCGGCUUAACCGAGGACGUGCGGGAGAUACUGUCAGGCUUGAGUCCGGAAGAGGGUGGCGGAAUUCCCAGCGUAGCGGUGAAAUGUGUAGCUAUUGGGAGGAACACCGGUGGCGAACGCGGCCACCUGGGCCGGAACUGACGCUGAGGCGCGAAAGUGCGGGUAGCAAACGGGAUUAGAUACCCCGGUAGUCCACACCGUAAACGAUGGGCACUUGGUGUCGCGGGUAUCGACCCCUCCGGUGCCGAAGCUAACGCAUUAAGUGCCCCGCAAGGGGAGUACGGUCGCACGGCUG